RNAcentral lists this ribosomal RNA (492 nucleotides) under uncultured bacterium. RNAcentral describes it as "partial 16S ribosomal RNA". It matches the Rfam family "Bacterial small subunit ribosomal RNA", at positions 29 to 507 of the family's 1533-position model. The record is from RNAcentral.
AGUGAACGCUGGCGGUAGGCCUAACACAUGCAAGUCGAACGGCAGCACAGUAAGAGCUUGCUCUUACGGGUGGCGAGUGGCGGACGGGUGAGGAAUACAUCGGAAUCUACUUUUUCGUGGGGGAUAACGUAGGGAAACUUACGCUAAUACCGCAUACGACCUACGGGUGAAAGCAGGGGAUCUUCGGACCUUGCGCGAUUGAAUGAGCCGAUGUCGGAUUAGCUAGUUGGCGGGGUAAAGGCCCACCAAGGCGACGAUCCGUAGCUGGUCUGAGAGGAGGAUCAGACACACUUGAACUGAGACACGGUCCAGACUCCUACGGGAGGCAGCAGUGGGGAAUAUUGGACAGUGGGCGCAAGCCUGAUCCAGCCAUACCGCGUGGGUGAAGAAGGCCUUCGGGUUGUAAAGCCCUUUUGUUGGGAAAGAAAAGCAGCAGGUUAAUACCCCGCUGUUCUGACGGUACCCAAAGAAUAAGCACCGGCUAACUUCGUG